AUUAUACAGCGAAACUGCGAAUGGCUCAUUAUAUAAGUUAUCGUUUAUUUGAUAGUGCCUUACUACUUGGAUAACCGUGGUAAUUCUAGAGCUAAUACAUGCUAAAAACCCCGACUUCGGAAGGGGUGUAUUUAUUAGAUACAAAACCAAUGCCCUUCGGGGCUCUUUGGUGAUUCAUGAUAACUAUACGAAUCGCACGGCCUUGCGCCGGCGAUGGUUCAUUCAAAUUUCUUCCCUAUCAACUUUCGAUGUUUGGGUCUUGGCCAAACAUGGUUGCAACGGGUAACGGAGGGUUAGGGCUCGACCCCGGAGAAGGAGCCUGAGAAACGGCUACUACAUCCAAGGAAGGCAGCAGGCGCGCAAAUUACCCAAUCCCGACUCGGGGAGGUAGUGACAAUAAAUACUGAUACAGGGCCCUUUCGGGCCUUGUAAUUGGAAUGAGUACAAUUUAAAUCCCUUAACGAGGAACAAUUGGAGGGCAAGUCUGGUGCCAGCAGCCGCGGUAAUUCCAGCUCCAAUAGCGUAUAUUAAAGUUGUUGUGGUUAAAAAGCUCGUAGUUGAACCUUGGGCCUGGCUGGCCGGUCCGCCUCACCGCGUGCACUGGUCCGGCCGGGCCUUUCCCUCUGUGGAACCCCAUACCCUUCACUGGGCGUGGCGGGGAAACAGGACAUUUACUUUGAAAAAAUUAGAGUGCUCCAGGCAGGCCUAUGCUCGAAUACAUUAGCAUGGAAUAAUAAAAUAGGACGCGCGGUUCUAUUUUGUUGGUUUAUAGGACCGCCGUAAUGAUUAAUAGGGACAGUCGGGGGCAUCAGUAUUCAAAUGUCAGAGGUGAAAUUCUUGGAUCAUUUGAAGACUAACUACUGCGAAAGCAUUUGCCAAGGAUGUUUUCAUUAAUCAGGAACGAAAGUUAGGGGAUCGAAGACGAUCAGAUACCGUCGUAGUCUUAACCCUAACUAUGCCGACAAGGAUCGGACGUGUUAUCAGACCCGUUCGGACCCACAAAAAAUAAAAUGCUUGG
This 1018-nucleotide ribosomal RNA is filed under the name Sarocladium implicatum. RNAcentral's name for it is "SSU rRNA". It matches the Rfam family "Eukaryotic small subunit ribosomal RNA", at positions 73 to 1110 of the family's 1831-position model. Lineage: Eukaryota; Fungi; Ascomycota; Sordariomycetes; Hypocreales; Sarocladiaceae. The record is from RNAcentral.